AACGAACGCUGGCGGCAGGCUUAACACAUGCAAGUCGAACGGAUCCUUCGGGAUUAGUGGCAGACGGGUGAGUAACGCGUGGGAACGUACCCUUUGCUACGGAAUAACUCAGGGAAACUUGAGCUAAUACCGUAUGUGCCCUACGGGGGAAAGAUUUAUCGGCAAAGGAUCGGCCCGCGUUGGAUUAGCUAGUUGGUGGGGUAAUGGCCUACCAAGGCGACGAUCCAUAGCUGGUCUGAGAGGAUGAUCAGCCACACUGGGACUGAGACACGGCCCAGACUCCUACGGGAGGCAGCAGUGGGGAAUAUUGGACAAUGGGCGCAAGCCUGAUCCAGCCAUGCCGCGUGAGUGAUGAAGGUCUUAGGAUUGUAAAGCUCUUUCACCGGUGAAGAUAAUGACGGUAGCCAGAGAAGAAGCCCCGGCUAACUUCGUG
RNAcentral lists this ribosomal RNA (433 nucleotides) under uncultured bacterium. RNAcentral's name for it is "partial 16S ribosomal RNA". It matches the Rfam family "Bacterial small subunit ribosomal RNA", at positions 29 to 507 of the family's 1533-position model. The record is from RNAcentral.